RNAcentral lists this ribosomal RNA (164 nucleotides) under Chrysocoma ciliata. RNAcentral describes it as "5.8S ribosomal RNA". It matches the Rfam family "5.8S ribosomal RNA". Rfam says of the family: 5.8S ribosomal RNA (5.8S rRNA) is a component of the large subunit of the eukaryotic ribosome. The record is from RNAcentral. Lineage: Eukaryota; Viridiplantae; Streptophyta; Magnoliopsida; Asterales; Asteraceae. RNAcentral also lists the same sequence under 3 other names.
CAAACGACUCUCGGCAACGGAUAUCUCGGCUCACGCAUCGAUGAAGAACGUAGCAAAAUGCGAUACUUGGUGUGAAUUGCAGAAUCCCGUGAACCAUCGAGUUUUUGAACGCAAGUUGCGCCCGAAGCCAUUCGGCUGAGGGCACGCCUGCCUGGGCGUCACGC